Molecule: non-coding RNA, 171 nt
Filed under: chicken gut metagenome
Source: RNAcentral
GAUUCGGUUGCCUUGUUUCAAGGCAUGAAAAGGGAACGCAGUGCAAGUCUGCGGCAGUCCCCGCUACUGUAAGAAGGACGAAAGCUUCAGGAUGUUUAUACAUCAAUCACUGAGUUUAUCGGGAAGAUGAAGCAAGUAGGAUGAUUUUAAGCCAGGAGACCUGCCGAUAUU